AGCAGCCGCGGUAAUUCCAGCUCCAAUAGCGUAUAUUAAAGUUGUUGCAGUUAAAAAGCUCGUAGUUGAAUUUCGGGAUUAGUAAGUUGGUCGUGCCUCUGGUAUGUACUGGCUUUACUGGUUCCUCCUUCUUGAAGAACUGUAAUGUCAUUAAUUUGGUGUUGCAGGGAAACAGGACUGUUACUUUGAAAAAAUUAGAGUGUUUAAAGCAGGCUAACGCUUGAAUACAUUAGCAUGGAAUAAUGAAAUAGGACGUUUGAUCCUAUUUUGUUGGUUUCUAGGAUUGACGUAAUGAUUAAUAGGGAUAGUUGGGGGCAUUAGUAUUCAAUUGUUAGAGGUGAAAUUCUUGGAUUUAUUGAAGACUAACUACUGCGAAAGCAUUUGCCAAGGAUGUUUUCAUUAAUCAAGAACGAAAGUUAGGGGAUCGAAGACGAUCAGAUACCGUCGUAGUCUUAACCAUAAACUAUGCCGACUAGGGAUCGGAUGAUGUUAAUUUUUUAAUGACUCA
RNAcentral lists this ribosomal RNA (508 nucleotides) under uncultured Sclerocystis. Its description in RNAcentral is "SSU rRNA". It matches the Rfam family "Eukaryotic small subunit ribosomal RNA", at positions 569 to 1078 of the family's 1831-position model. Lineage: Eukaryota; Fungi; Glomeromycota; Glomeromycetes; Glomerales; Glomeraceae. The record is from RNAcentral.